RNAcentral lists this ribosomal RNA (425 nucleotides) under uncultured bacterium. RNAcentral's name for it is "bacterial SSU rRNA". It matches the Rfam family "Bacterial small subunit ribosomal RNA", at positions 356 to 772 of the family's 1533-position model. The record is from RNAcentral.
GGGGAAUUGUUCGCAAUGGGCGCAAGCCUGACGACGCAACGCCGCGUGGGGGAUGAAGGUCUUCGGAUUGUAAACCCCUGUUGGGUGGGACGAACACUUUCGUGGUGAAUAGCCAUGGAGGCUGACGGUACCACCUGAGGAAGCACCGGCUAACUCUGUGCCAGCAGCCGCGGUAAGACAGAGGGUGCAAACGUUGUUCGGAAUUACUGGGCGUAAAGCGCGUGUAGGCGGCUGCGCAAGUCGGGCGUGAAAUCCCACGGCUCAACCGUGGAAGUGCACUCGAAACUGCGUAGCUUGAGUCCUGGAGAGGAAGGUGGAAUGCUUGGUGUAGAGGUGAAAUUCGUAGAUAUCAAGCGGAACACCGGUGGCGAAGGCGACCUUCUGGACAGUGACUGACGCUGAGACGCGAAAGCGUGGGGAGCAAA